UACGUAGGGUGCAAGCGUUGCUCGGUAUCACUGGGCUUAAAGGGUGCGUAGGUGGACUUUUAAGUCAGUGGUGAAAGCCUGUAGCUUAACUAUAGAAUUGCCAUUGAAACUGAAAGUCUUGAGUACAGUUGAGGUGAGCGGAAUGUAUCAUGUAGCGGUGAAAUGCUUAGAUAUGAUACAGAACACCGAUUGCGAAGGCAGCUCACUAAACUGCAACUGACACUGAGGCACGAAAGCGUGGGGAUCAAACAGG
RNAcentral lists this ribosomal RNA (253 nucleotides) under uncultured bacterium. RNAcentral describes it as "partial 16S ribosomal RNA". It matches the Rfam family "Bacterial small subunit ribosomal RNA", at positions 524 to 776 of the family's 1533-position model. The record is from RNAcentral.